RNAcentral lists this ribosomal RNA (396 nucleotides) under Ebriida sp. TAGIRI1 lineage. RNAcentral's name for it is "partial small subunit ribosomal RNA". It matches the Rfam family "Eukaryotic small subunit ribosomal RNA", at positions 582 to 975 of the family's 1831-position model. Lineage: Eukaryota; Cercozoa; Thecofilosea. The record is from RNAcentral.
AUUCCAGCUCCAAUAGCGUAUAUUAAAGUUGUUGCAGUUAAAAAGCUCGUAGUUGGAUUUCUGGUCUGAUGCCCUGGCCCGCCUCAAUUUCGAGGUGAGUGCCGGCUGUGCGUCUACCAUCCUUCUAGAAAACGUUCCUACCCUUCACUGGGCCGGGUUCGCGAUCUAGAUCUUUUACUUUGAAAAAAUUAGAGUGUUUAAAGCAGGCUUUUGCUAUGAAUACAUUAGCAUGGAAUAAUAAUCUAGGACUUCGGUUCUAUUUUGUUGGUUUCUAGUACUGAAGUAAUGAUUGAUAGGGAUAGUUGGGGGUGCUAGUAUUGAGCGGCCAGAGGUGAAAUUCUUGGAUUCGCUCAAGACUAACUUAUGCGAAAGCAUUCACCAAGGAUGUCUUCAUCA